This is a long non-coding RNA of Felis catus (domestic cat), 1164 nucleotides long. RefSeq lists it as uncharacterized. Lineage: Eukaryota; Metazoa; Chordata; Mammalia; Carnivora; Felidae. The record is from RefSeq and is a predicted model, not a curated record. The transcript is spliced from 3 exons.
UGAAAUAAUAAAUAAAUUUUAUUUAAAAAAAAAGCCUAAUGAAAUCCAGGCUUGUGGACAAGUUUAUAAAUAUGGGCAUCUACAUUUUAUUUUCUGUAGAGCUUCAAUGAGACUUAGCACCAUUGUCCCCCAUGCUAUCAUUCUGCCCAUCUUUUCUUCUUUGUUAGGUGAAUUCGUGAACUCCUGGAGGAUGGGGACGAUGACACAUUCAUUUUUAAAUUUCCUAAGUUUCUUUCCAGAUGCCAGAGGAAUUAUGAAAUUUUCAUACAUCCAAGAGUCACCUGGAGAGCCCAUAACACGUGCAAACCCCCAGAGCCCUUUGCAGGAGAUGAAAAGGACACCUAAAGCCCUCUGGAGGUGCAAAGCCCAGAUCUGCCAGGUUGGAAGGGGAACGGCUUUUCCCGGGAGACUCAGAAUUAAACUGACAAAAAACAGAUUAGCAAAAGAAGAGAAGAGUUUCUUUAGGCCUGCAACGUGCACACCUGGGGAGGUUUGCAUAACAUACAUAUGAAUGUGAGCAAUUAUGAACAUCCGCGUAACAACCUCUUGGAACAAGAAGCACAUUAGCAACAAGUCCUGGGUACCUCCUGUUGAAUCGACACUGUGCUGGGGACGCAGGACCUCCGCCUGACACCACAGAGGGAGUGGCUGUUGACCCCGGUCCACGGGGCUGGUAGAGAUCAGACUGCGAUUCGGUGACUCACCAGCUGUGGACCUUCGGUCACUUUCCCUGCCUCGGAGCCUCGGUCUCCUCACACACGCCGUGUUGGAGGGACACCUAUCUCAUAAGCUUGUUUGCGGAUUGAGCACGUGAGCCCUGCCUCUGUGCCGCCCCAGCGGGCCUGAAGUCACGGUGUUUCAGCACACUAGGCUGCCGCCCUGGGCAGGUGUCUCUUCUGCAUCCCCUCACCCAGCAUCAAGACCGAAAGUACACUGUUACAGCAGAUAGCCCAGUGACUUUCAAUGACGUUUGGUCAAAGGGAAAGGGGGAUUUUGUGGUCACGAUAGCUGGGAAGCAGUGCUGACUUCAAUGGGAGGGACAGGGCCACGAAACACCGUGGAACGUGGAAAGCGUGGCCUCCCCAAGAACGUCGUCAGCAUCCCCUUUGAGAAACAAAGCCACGUCUGAGAGUCCAGAAGGAAAUAAAAAAGGAUUGAACAAGC